This 572-nucleotide long non-coding RNA is filed under the name Marmota monax (woodchuck). The record is from RNAcentral. Lineage: Eukaryota; Metazoa; Chordata; Mammalia; Rodentia; Sciuridae.
AAGUUUUAGGCAAUGGUUUUGUUUAUCACUGAAAGAACUGGACUAUGAAGGGAGGUACUUUCUCUGACUUUCCUCUUCUUUUCUCAGGAAGAAAAGCUGAGAAUGCAAUUCCUGGAGCUGAGACAGCCUUCUUCCAACUAUUCGGUAACGAUCAUGAAGACAGAAAAUAUGCUGAGGAAGGCAGAGUGGAAAAAACAGCCUAGUUUCUUGAGGAAAUUGCUGAGCCAUUGCACCAAGUCAAGAACAUAUAUCUUUAGGUGUAUUGCUAUAGCAUAUUGUGAUGGAUAAGCUACUAUUUGAUGUUCCGAUCGUUGCAUCUUGGAUGAUAUGAUAGUUCCAUGAAUGGCACAAGGAGUUGAGCAACAAGGCAUCAAAUCUUAUUCAGCAGAUAACACGGAAAAACAACUAUAAUUCAGUCAGCUAUCCAAAAAAGGAUAUCAUGUUUAACAAAAAUAAAGUGAAUUUGAACAUGGUGGCUAGUUGUUGUCAUGGAUUUAGGCUGUAUUUUGGAAUACUAAUAUGGCAUGAAUCCAUAAUUGCUUAACUCAAAAAUAAAAGCCAUUCUGUGCAUA